This 442-nucleotide ribosomal RNA is filed under the name Metabacillus halosaccharovorans. RNAcentral describes it as "bacterial SSU rRNA". It matches the Rfam family "Bacterial small subunit ribosomal RNA", at positions 68 to 494 of the family's 1533-position model. Lineage: Bacteria; Bacillati; Bacillota; Bacilli; Caryophanales; Bacillaceae. The record is from RNAcentral.
AACCAAUGGGAGCUUGCUCCCUGAGGUUAGCGGCGGACGGGUGAGUAACACGUGGGUAACCUGCCUGUAAGAUUGGGAUAACUCCGGGAAACCGGAGCUAAUACCGGAUAACAUUUUGAACCGCAUGGUUCAAAAUUGAAAGAUGGUUUCGGCUGUCACUUACAGAUGGACCCGCGGCGCAUUAGCUAGUUGGUGAGGUAACGGCUCACCAAGGCGACGAUGCGUAGCCGACCUGAGAGGGUGAUCGGCCACACUGGGACUGAGACACGGCCCAGACUCCUACGGGAGGCAGCAGUAGGGAAUCUUCCGCAAUGGACGAAAGUCUGACGGAGCAACGCCGCGUGAACGAUGAAGGCCUUCGGGUCGUAAAGUUCUGUUGUUAGGGAAGAACAAGUACCAGAGUAACUGCUGGUACCUUGACGGUACCUAACCAGAAAGCCAC